GACGAACGCUGGCGGCGUGCUUAACACAUGCAAUUCGAACGGAAAGGCCCUGCUUUUGUGGGGUGCUCGAGUGGCGAACGGGUGAGUAACACGUGAUUAACCUGCCCUUGACUUUGGGAUAACUUCAGGAAACUGGGGCUAAUACCGGAUAGGAGCUCCUGCUGCAUGGUGGGGGUUGGAAAGUUUCGGCGGUUGGGGAUGGACUCGCGGCUUAUCAGCUUGUUGGUGGGGUAGUGGCUUACCAAGGCUUUGACGGGUAGCCGGCCUGAGAGGGUGACCGGCCACAUUGGGACUGAGAUACGGCCCAGACUCCUACGGGAGGCAGCAGUGGGGAAUAUUGCACAAUGGGCGGAAGCCUGAUGCAGCAACGCCGCGUGCGGGAUGACGGCCUUCGGGUUGUAAACCGCUUUCGCCUGUGACGAAGCGUGAGUGACGGUAAUGGGUAAAGAAGCAACGGCUAACUACGUG
Molecule: ribosomal RNA, 468 nt
Filed under: uncultured bacterium
Lineage: Bacteria
Description: partial 16S ribosomal RNA
Rfam family: Bacterial small subunit ribosomal RNA
Source: RNAcentral